This 498-nucleotide ribosomal RNA is filed under the name Camponotus laevigatus. Its description in RNAcentral is "eukaryotic LSU rRNA". Lineage: Eukaryota; Metazoa; Arthropoda; Insecta; Hymenoptera; Formicidae. The record is from RNAcentral.
AAACCGUUCAGGGGUAAACCUAAGAAACCCAAAAGAUCGAACGGGGAGAUUCAUCGUCAGCGGCGCUGGCUUCGCGUCGGUGGGCGAUGUCCCGCGGAGUCCUCGCGGCUCGCGCGCGGGCACGCUACCGUGCGUCGAUGUCCGGCUGUCGUCGUCGUGCACUUCUCCCCAAGUAGAACGUCGCGACCCGCUGGGUGUCGGUCUACGGCCCGGGUGCGGUGACUGUCGCGUCGCCGGUAAAACGGCACGCGACAAACCCUCGGUCGCCCGGCCGGCUGCUCGGCGGUACGCGCAAGGUAUCAGGCCGCACUUCUACACGGUGCGUCGAGGCCGUCGCAAGCGCGCGCCACGGUACUCGGAGGUUACGGACUUUGCGCCGUCCCCGGUCCUGGCCCGCUGUUGGUUAAAGUACGGAUCACCUUCGACAGGCCCGCGAACGUCUCUCUCACGGGGGACGGAUACCGGUCGGCGACGCUACUGCUUUGGGUACUCUUAGGA